GACGAACGCUGGCGGCGUGCUUAACACAUGCAAGUCGAGCGGUAAGGCCCUUUCGGGGUACGACGAGCGGCGAACGGGUGAGUAACACGUGGGUGACCUGCCCUCCAGCUCUGGGAGUAAGCCUGGGAAACGUAGGGUCGUAAUACUGGAUAUGACUCCACGGUGCAUGUCGGUGGGGUGGAAAGCCUUGUGCGGCUGAGGAUGGGCCCGCGGCCUAUCAGCUUGUUGGUGGGGUGANGGCCUACCAAGGCGACGACGGGUAGCCGGCCUGAGAGGGCGACCGGCCACACUGGGACUGAGACACGGCCCAGACUCCUACGGGAGGCAGCAGUGGGGAAUAUUGCGCAAUGGGCGAAAGCCUGACGCAGCG
RNAcentral lists this ribosomal RNA (370 nucleotides) under uncultured bacterium. Its description in RNAcentral is "bacterial SSU rRNA". It matches the Rfam family "Bacterial small subunit ribosomal RNA", at positions 28 to 393 of the family's 1533-position model. The record is from RNAcentral.